This is a long non-coding RNA of Macrobrachium nipponense, 679 nucleotides long. RefSeq lists it as uncharacterized. The record is from RefSeq and is a predicted model, not a curated record. The transcript has 2 exons. Lineage: Eukaryota; Metazoa; Arthropoda; Malacostraca; Decapoda; Palaemonidae.
ACAACAGUAAGUGGUGUUAGUUCUUUCUUGGCUAUUACUUUUCAGUUGACAUAACUCUGCAAAGUUAAUGGUGUACGUAAAAUUUUAAAAAAUCACCAGUUCAAGGGAUAUUAAAAAAAAGUCCUUCGAUAAAAACCAGUUCAGUAGCUUCAGAGAUAGUUCAUAUCCCUAGUUGACAGAACCGGUCUUGCGGUUAUGGCGUCUUUGGGACAUACAAAAGCAGGGUUCUUCGCAGAAUUGGGCACAUUUGGCAGGUUGCAGUUAUCCUGAAAGGAAGUCAAACACCAAGCAGCAAUGAAGGCCUUCAACUACCUGUUCGUUCUGACACUGCUCCUGGCGGCUACAACCACAGUCUUCGGCAGGUUCUUUGAUUCCUUCGAGGACUCCCGCGAGUUCGUCGUAGCCUACGGCGGUCGGCCAUUCGCAGGGGCUACCGGAAGUCGUCCAUUCUUCGGGGGUCGUCCAGGAUAUGGAAAGUGAUCGUUUCAAAAGACGGCUGUGGACUCCCGGAAACCACCUCUUGAUUGACUCGAUACUCUUCUGCCCAAAUUCUACAGGAAUUUGAGCGUUAGUCCCACGUUCUACACUUUUUUUUUUUUAUUCUUGUAAAUGCUUACGUGUUUUUCGCUAUUGAUGUAAAUGCUGUAGUAAUAAAAGCACUCUCUUAUAUUUUCUUCAU